RNAcentral lists this long non-coding RNA (14866 nucleotides) under Salvia miltiorrhiza (redroot sage). RNAcentral describes it as "long non-coding RNA (SMIL_LNC008137)". The record is from RNAcentral. Lineage: Eukaryota; Viridiplantae; Streptophyta; Magnoliopsida; Lamiales; Lamiaceae.
UUUGAAAUGGUUGCUCAGAUACUUGAAGUCUACUAUGCAUUAUGGUCUGAAUUUUGCUAAGGCUCAAGAUGGCAUUAAAUGUGUUGGAUAUGUUGAUUCUAACUAUGCAAAUGAUAUAGAUAGUAGGAAGUCAUCUACUUCUUAUGUAUUCACUUUGUGUAAUGCUUGCAUUAGUUGGAAAUCUCAAUUGCAAAACGUUGUUGCCUUGUCUACUACUGAAUCUGAGUAUAUUGCUGCAACUGAGGCUGUGAAAGAAGCUCUUUGGCUUGAUGGAUUGCUGUCUGAAAUUAGAUACAUUGAUGAUAAACCCAUUGUUUUCUCUGAUAGUCAAUCUGCCAUUCAACUAUGCAAAAACCCUGUGUUCCAUGAUAGAACUAAGCAUAUUGCUGUUAAAUAUCACUUCAUUAGGGAUGUAGUUGAAAAAGGAGAUGUUUUGCUUGAUAAGAUUCCCUCUGAAUUCAAUCCAGCAGAUAUGGGCACCAAGUGCCUUCCAGUUGCAAAGCUGGAAUCUUGCUUGGAAACUUUGAAUAUAGGUCCUGGUUAAUUCCUUUUGAGUCUUGGUGUGAUAAGUUCAGCCUCUGUGGCUGCUUGUCUCUCCUUGUCUUUGCCUUUCUUGUGUGCAUGAUGAUGUGAGUUAUCUCAGUUCUGCCUGCUGUUGUCCUGUGUUUGUCUUCUGUUUAUGGUGCUUUGUUCUGUUUGUAUGUGCUUGCCUGGUUCUGUCUUGUUUUUCUGUCUGUUGUCUGCUUGUGUUUGUGUGUGUGUGACUUCAAUGAUAACCCUUUGGGUUUGAGAAAUUGGUGAUUACCCUGGGUUGGUCUCUGUGGUUUGAGACUGAGUUAAAUAUGCUUAAUAUUUCUCUCACCCUCUCUUGUCUUGACUUUGUGGCAGAUAAGAGUAAAAAUUGGGCUGUGAUGAUAACUCCAACUCUAUUGAUGACCCUUCCCUGGUGACAGAAUGAUCAAUGUGCCAAAGGUGGAUAUGUGAGGUUGGCCCAUUUCUCAUUCCCUUCUCCCUUUCUUUUCUUUUUGGGUCUGGGCCAACUUCAGGGCCCAGAACCGAGCCCAAUCUCCCAUCCCAGCCCAUUCCCUAACCCUAGCCCACUCACACCCCUGAUAUACCCCUCCGCGUCCUCUCUCUCUCUCACUUUCACUCAGCGCCGCUCUCUCUCCCAACCCUAACUCCGCUCUCUCUCCCUGACUCUCCAUCUUCUCCACCGCUCCACCGCCCAUCCCCUCGGUUCCUCCAUCACCAUUACUGCUGUCCAGCUCCUCCCUCUUCCCUCUAUAACUAUGGUACUCUCUCAUACGCUGGGAAUAACGUAUUAUCAAAAAGUGAAGGGCUCUGCUAUUCCUUUCAAGUGUGUUUAUUGGAUAAUACGGGAUUCCCUGACGUGGGUGGAGGUAUCAUCGGGUUUUCCUGACCAUCGGAGCCCUGUUUGGUGGUUACCUGAGAAGAUCUGAGCUGCCGGAGUUCUGACCUUGGCUCCUGCUGUUGGUAGCUCUGUUGAGAUCUGUGAAGCUGCUCCAUCGUCCUUACCUCGCCGUUGGUCAUUCAGCUGCCGGAAGGGUUGCUGAUUUAAGGGGGAAAAUCUGAGCCCCUGUGUCCCGAGAAUCUCGACUGAAAUCCAUUGAUUUUCUAUAUAUCUUGUUUUCACGCUUACUCCUUCUUUUUAUUGUGCAAUAACUACAAAAGGUAAUUGAGAAUUGGAAAUAAAGAAUGAAGUACUUACCAUCGUUGAGAUUGUAGAAUAAUUCUACAGAAAACCAUUCCAAAAUAGUAUCAAGAGAUACCCAACACACCUUACAUGCAUAUUUCCAAUAAUUGUUAGCAAUAUAAUCGACCCGAUCGAAAAUAUGCUUUAAUCAUAUAUAUGAAAAAGAAUUCAAAUUAAAUCCCUUGGUAUAACUGAAUAUUAAUGUGACUUCUGACUUGGUACCAUAUCCUGAAGUUGAAGAAAUACACAAUUAUGAUGAAGACAAGUUGGUAAAAUAAUGGAAGUUCCCCCACCUAAGUGCUUAGGUGGACCAUCUAUAAAAUCCCACUGAAUAUAUAUUUAUUCAAUUCAAGUGAAUCAUAUACUAAAACCCUUCUCUUCUCCUGCGCCCAAUUAGUUAUAUAAUGGCAGUGCCCUCGAAAGACGGCGCGUGGCUGUGGUUUGGCGUGGGUUUGGUUGGUCUGAUCCUCCUAACGACGGCCUCCACAAAUGAAGAAGCGGCGGUGAGAGGAAGGCCGCAGUGGCUGGUGGAGAAGCCGUGCGACGAGAUAUACGUUGUCGGAGAAGGUGAAACCCUACACACCAUCAGCGACAAGUGCGCCGAUCCUUACAUAGUCGAGAGGAAUCCGCAUAUUCACGACCCCGAUGAUGUUUUUCCCGGCCUUGUCAUAAAGAUUGUGCCUCUCACACUCUAAAUUAACACACACAAUAUAUAUAUAUUUAUAUGCCUGUAUUAUGCAUAUGUGUACAUGUUUAUAUAUAUAUAGAUAGAUUAGAGCGUGGAUGGUGGAUAAUUAGCUUUAAUUUGCUGAAAACCGAUUAAUAAAGCAAACUUCGGGUUAUUGUUUGAGGGUGGGUUUUUCAAAUUUACAUUAAUUUACGUACAUGUUACCUACUUCUGUACGUUUGUAUAUGUAAUAGAGGAAGAAAUUCAAAUUCAACAAUACGUAUUCCCUUUCUUAUUCUUUUUNUUUUUUUCCUUUUUUCUUUGUCAAGGUGAAGGAUGAUUUUAUGUCUUAUCUCUGUUAUUAUAUAUGUAAGUUUAACUUGGUCUUAUUUCUGCCCUUUUUAUUUUCAAUUUAUAAAUUAAAAUGUUAAUAAUUUCUCAUUCAAUGCAAUAUAUAUUCGUUUUAUUAGAACUCAUUAAUUAUAUGUGAUUGAUUAAGUGUUGGAAGUGGACAAGUGGUUUUAUUUGAGCCACUUUUUGUUGGUAAGAAAGAUAAGUUGAAAGAGUUGUUAAUUAAGUACACGUAUAUAUAUGUAUGUCAAUCUUCUUACUGAGAAUUGGGUAUCGCAAUUUCGUAAUCCAGUGCACAAUUUAUUUAUUGAUUCGGUUGUCGAUGUGUAUAACCUACGUUUAUUAAUUAUAUAUAUAUAGUUCAGCAGUCUUCUCUUGGGAUUGUGAUAGGUCAUUUUCUGUACAACAACACGCAUUUUAAUUUAUUUAUCUUUUAUAAAAUAACAAAUAAUUUAAAAUAUCGUGCUCCAUGAACCUAAAUUUGAAACUUUAACAUUAAGCAUUAACCACAUUAUCCCUAAACUAACGGCUUGAAAUUCAGUAUACCACAACUAGUGCAUGGGCCGAAAACUGCAUGCAUGUUCAAGACCUGAACCAGCGCUUACGGUUUACUGGAAAGACGAAUCGUAACUGGCCCUUGUAAUGUUCAUGGUGGGCCAGUUUCAGGCCUUGAAUCGGCAAUUUCGAGUCGGGCUGAAAAUCGGCGGUUCAAGGUUCGAACUGGCGAUUUUCGACAGUUUUUUUUUUAAAAAAAUAUUUUUAAUGUAUUGUGUAUAUUUUUCUUAUGAAAUUAUGCAUUGAAAUUAUUUAAUUCGAGAUAAAGAUACAAUAAACUAUAAUAUAAACGAAAUAAAUUAUAACACAUUUAAUUUUGGAGCCAACUUUUGAGAUAACCAUAUUGAGCAAUAGAACUCAAUAUUUGGCCAUCCGUCUUAAAAACACAAAUUUUUGCCAUUUUUUGCAAUUUCAGACUGUAUUGCCCUUCAGAAAUACAAAGUUUACAAAUUUUAGCCCUAUAACACUAAUAUUAUAAUUUGUGUCAAAAGUACCAACAAAAAGAAAAAUAAAAAAUAAGUAAUUUGGUACUUCUGGCACUAAUAUGUUAAAAUUUGUGCCAAAAGAACCAAUAGAAAAAAAAAAAGAAUAUUAGUGCCAAAAGUACCAAAAGAAAAACAAAUAAAGUAAUUUGAUAUUUUUGGCACAAAUGACAAUAUUAGUGCCAAAAGUAUCAACUACUUGUUAUUUUUUUUGUUCUCAUUAAUUAAUUUGGUAGUUUUGGCACAAAUUAUAACAUUAUAGGUCCAAAAGUACCACCCGAACCCGCGCCCAACCUGAUUCGGUCCCGCCAAAUUAAGGGCUAUACAAUCCAAAAUUGCAAAAAAUUAAAUGGUCAAACUUUUUGUCUUUAAGGUGGAGGACCAAAUAUUGAGUUUCAAUCCCCAAUAUGGCUAUAUGAGUGCAUAUUAUCUUUAAUUUUGUUUAUUUUAUUAUAUAGUUUUUCUCCAAUUUCAACUUUUUAUAUUCUAGUUUAAUUUUGUGAUUAUUAAGUACAAUUAUUUUAUUUAAUUAGGGAAUAAAUUAUUUUUUAUUAUUUAAUUUCACUUUUUAUUAAUUAAUAAUAGGUUGUAAUUUUAUUCUAUUUGCAAUAACUUUAUUAAAACUCGUUUCCACCCUCAAACAUGAUUCUUUUUCGUGGACGGAGAGAAUAAUAAAUUUUAUUUUUUAUAAAAAAUAUUAUUAAAAAAUACUCCCUCUGUCCCACUAAAAGUGGCUUGUAUUCCAUUUUGGGCCGUCCCACUAUAAGUGAUCUAUUUCCACAAAUGACAAAGUUUAACCCUUUAAAAAAGUGUGGGACCCUACCACUUUUAAUACAUUUACACAUUCUCCUUAAUUCCUGUGCCGAAAAGUUUUAAGUCACUUAUAGUGGGACGGAUGAAGUAUAUAAGAGUGGAACAUACUUACACUUAUGAGACACUGAAUCUCAUCUCCUAAAUCAGCUAUAUAGCACUUAUGCCCCCAUUUUAAUUUAGAAUCAACUUGUGAGAUAGCCAUAUUGAGCAAUCAAACUAAAUAUUUGGCCUCCCAUCUAAAAAAUACAAAUUUUGGUCAUUUUUUUACGUUUUAAGACUAUUUUGCCUUUAAUUAAGGCGGAUCGAAUUCGGGUUUGCACGUGGGUUGGAGCGGAUUGAGGCGCGGGUUAUGAUGGUACAAUUGGUACAAAAAGGGUAAAUUUAUGUCAAUUGUGUCAUUCAUUAAGUACACUUGACACAAUAACGCUAAUUUGUGCUAAAUAUGAGUGAAGAUUGAAUGAUNAAGAUCUUAUGGAUUGUAAUCGUCCUAAAUGAGAGCCUCCUAAUUCACGUAUGCAAUAGUGGAGGAUAAUAUAGUAAAUUAUAGAUUCCUAAUCGGUUAACAAUAUCUAUGUAAUUAAUAUUAAAAUUCUUUUCAUAUCUAUUCAAAUUUGUAAUGAUACUUAUUAAAUUAAAAUUCGUAAACAAAACACGAUAGCUGAAGUAACGGAUUAAUUCAUGACAUACCCUAAAUAAUGAUUGGACUGUAACACUUAUGGCAUGUGCUAAGUCUGACCUAGCGCAAAUCAUUGUAUACAUAAUGCUUCCAACAAUGUUUUAGCAUAUGGAAUCUUUGCCAUAAACUUCCUUUCUUUCUCAUCCUUUGGUUUCUGUUAAACUGUAAGCUUGAAGUGUUGUGCAAGUGGAACUUUAAUACCCUUAGACUUAUCCAUAUUGAAUCUCUUCAAUACCCUUUCUAUGUAAGACUUCUAAGAUAACCACAGUCUAUCAUUCUCCCUAUCUCUAUCAAUAUCCACACCUAGAAUUCUUUCUGCCUUCCCUAAAUCUUUCAUUUCAAACUCUAGCUGUAAGUCAAACAUUACUUUCUCAAUUUCUACUCUAUUCUUACUAGCUAUCAACAUAUCAUCUACACAAGGUAGUAAAUAUGACAUGAAACCUGUGUCACUUUUAAUAAGAUAAACACAUUUUUUCGUGCUCUUUUUGUAUGUCGUUUAGGCCUAGAUCGAGUUUUUUUUUGUGUUUUGUGUCUUUUGUGUUUGGGAGGACGCACUUUGGGCAUAAGGACAGGUGGACGAGAUCUUGGGCAAAGCAGGCUGCAUUCCGCAAAAGAUGCAAAGAUUUGAGAUCAUUCAUGGGUACAAUAGUUGUACUACUGUGCCCAGACUAAGUACCAUGCGGGAUCCAGUUGCGUUCAAAGGCACAGCGACGAGACAGGAGCAAAAUCUGGCAUUCCAGGGCAAAGCGCCAAAAACUGGUGUUCAAGGGCACAGCCGCAAGUCAGAGGUUAAGCAAAAAUUGUGCAGAAAUUUGAUGCUGACUUUGGGGCACAACCUGGCGUUCGAGGGCACAGCGGUGCACCCAUCAACAUAAGAAAAGAAGAAUGUGUAUAUCCACUUACCAUAUACAGAAGGAUCUGACCUAAUUUACUUACCAAAGUUAUGAGAUGCAUAUCUGAUUUGGGCUAAGCAAAUAAGGAAAGAAAUCUCAACAACUUGGCUGCGCCCAGAAGCCCUAAUCUGCAUGGACCUGGCCCAAAGCCCACUACCAUUCUCUAUAUAAGGAUGCAUACCCUACGCCCAGAGGACGAAUUUUGGAGAGUGGGAGUUUACCACACAUAAUUCCACACCUUAGAUUAGUUUGUUUUGUAUUUCUAUUUUCAAUGAGAGCCUAGCCAAGGAAAAAACAAGCCCUUUGGGGCACCUUUUUAUUUUAUGUAUUGUUUUUAUUUGCUUUGGGCAGAGUUGAUGCUGCCCAAAGAUCGCUUUUAUUUUUGAACAUCUAUUUCAAUUCAAGUAUGUUUAUUUCGUUUAUUAAUUUUAUGUUAUUUUAUUUAAUUAUGUCUAGGUAAUUGUUUUACUUGGUUUGGGCCAUAAUCGAAUUAUGUAUGAGCAUAUGAAAUUGUGAGGUUGUAUCUGAGCAAAGAAGUUGUGCAUGUGUGUUCCCGAAGUAUUUGGCCUGAUUCCAAUACAACUUGGGCAAACCCGGCACUUUAUCUGGCCAGUACUGCUCUGGGCACGACCAAGUUACAAGCAAUAAGUGGGCACAAGUUAGGAGACCUCCGGCUCCACAUAGUGCGACAAAUGUGGGCGAGUGGUAGUAUGUCCUCGGACAUGCUUGAUGACCAUUUGGGUCCGACAAACUUCAUGUGGGCAACCACAUGAAGCGCGCAAAUGAGCGCGUGGUAGGCUGCGCACGUGACACCAUGACAAUGGGAGCCCAGCCUGUUGAUAUUUGCCCAUAACCAAUGAUACAUAGGCACAACGACUUUCCUUGAACCUAUGAGCGAUGAUUGUGCCCAAACUUGACGAGACUAUGCCCAAACCAAGUUGCUUUUAUUUUUUAUUUUUCUUUUAUUUUAUUUCAGGUUUUUUAUUUCUAGUGCUCUAAUCAGGGCACAACCCCAAGUGUGUAAUCGUGACCGAGACAAGAGAGAAGAAUACACCAACUCCUCAUGUGAUCGAACUUAUACUUACCGCUAGAGAAACCUAGCUGUGGGCAUAGAAAAAUUACAAAUUUAUUUGCACGGAGAAUCCACCGCACAACGACAAGGCAAAGGAUUCUCUCCCGUCAAGUGGCAAAUUCAGGAUUUUUAAAUUGAGGGUGAGAAAAAUAAUUACAUUAUGAUAAAUAUAAAAAAUAUUUAAUAAUAAAAAUAAACAUACCCAAAUAUUGUUUAAUUUUGAAGUUUAUAGUUUAUUUUUAAGUUGAGUUUAUACUUUCCUUUGAGGUUAUACUUUUAAUUGGGGUGCAGAAACUAAAUCUAAAACAAUUUACAUUUAAAUAUUAGGGUUAAUUACGCGAAAAAUCAUGAACUUUGGUCGGAUUUCAAACUUUCUAUGAACUGUUUUUUUUAUCAAAAAUUCCCUGAACUUAAUCAUCUAAACAAUUUUUCCAUGACUUUUUUCUCCGGUGAAGCUCCGGGCUGACAUGGCAAUUUUUAGGCAAUACGAGCUGAUAUGACGCUUACGUGGACCAAAAAUUGCCAUAUGGAAAAUAAUAUAUAAAAAAAGUAAAUUCUUCUUCUUCUUCACGCAGAUCUUCUUCUUCCUGUUCACGGCAGCCACCGCAAGUCGCGGCUGCACCGCCGCCCCUGCUCCCCUCUCAUCUCUCUCCCUCUAUCUCACUCUGCCUCCCUCCCUCGUUUAUCUCUCUCUACGUCUCCCCCUCUAUCUCUCUAUCUCUCUCUCUUUCCCCUAUCUCUCUCUAUCCCUCGCUCGAUCCCCCCUCUCUCUCUGCUGUUGGCGGCCGCCACGGACCACCGUGACCAUCCUCUUCCCCACAACGGCGUCUACAGAGCUCUCCUUUGCUCCAAAGCAGCCCUAUGUAAUCAAAUUUACCCUACCAAUUCUUCAUGGCGAUUGAUUAGGUUUUUGCUAUCCAAUUUAAAUCGCGCUCUGCAAUCUUACAGAUGACCCCUUCGGCGACCCUAAAGUCGCAGGCGACCCUUAUUGCACUCUCUUCUUCGUUUGUCGAUGACUCGCGAUUGCGGCAGAGACGAAGAAGAUGAAUCAACUGCUACUGUGGGGUUUGGGCUUCCACAGAUCCGCCAGCUCCCAGAUGCUGUGGGGUUAGGGUUUGCGAUUGGGGAGGGUGAUUUUUGCGAUGUGGAAAUCAAUUGUUGCGACAUCACCGUUUGAGAUGGGGGAACCAACGGAGGGUGAUUUAUGGUUAGGGUUUGCGAUAAGGAGAGAUGAAUUUUUUUGGUGAGUUCGACUUCUGACACGCACCCGUCGUGCGGUGCGGGCAAAAUACUUGUGUAUGCCUAGUACAGACGAUACACGCUCCUACGUCUCACAACAAGAACUCAGUCUUAGUGGCAAGUGUAGGGUCGAAUCCCACAGGGAGUGAGGAACUACUUUGUUCUCCAACGACAAACUGAGGUGUCACAAGUCUCAAUCUAUAUACUCUGCACAAGAAAUUAACAAGAUCAAUAAUAGCAAAGGGGUGAGGUUAUUCGGUUAGGUCAUAACUGUUGUCAACAUUCUUUUCGGUCAUAGGCAUACUGAUAAUCCGUCCAUGAUCCAUAUAAACCCAAGGCGUGGCCCAAAGACAUUGGGGCUUUUCAAGGGGUUAUACUUCACAUUUAGGAUGGUUGAUCCCAUUGUGGUCACUUGGUCCGAAGGUCACACAAUCCCCGGUCACAAGGCAGUGCUUCACUCCUCCUUAGAUAGUAGUCAUACCCGUUACUCACCAAGUAUGACCCUCACCAACCUUCUCUCCGAGGUCCCCAACUCUGCACUUUGAGUGACACAUGCCUCCUGGACACAACUAUUUCCGGCUUGUCAGCCGACCAGUCAUAGACAUGCUACGGCGCAGAGAUUGCCUUCCUCGUUUGUAACAUGGUUUGCUUCAACAUUAAUCUCUAGAGCCCACUGGAAAGGAGUGUAUCCCCAACCUUUCCCUUGAUAAUUAACACCGGUUGUUGUCUAUGUCGAGUCAGCAGGUCGUGGGUUACCGGUUGUCACGCCCUGUAUACCCUGGCCUUUGCUUGACACGGACAGCGUUUUACCGAACGGAGAUCACCCGUUGGCCCCUACUGUCCAUGUUUGGCACAGAUCCUCUGGAACCACGAGAUCAACCGAAAGAACAAAUGCCUCACGAAUGUUUACAUGUUGACAACAAUUAUUUCCACCCCUAAAACCUCACCUAAGGAACUACUCACACAUAGCAGAAUUCAUAAAUGCAAAUAAUAAACACAUCAUGUAACAAAAGGAAAUACUUGAUUAAUAAAAUGUACCUACGGCCUCGAGCCUUGAAUCUUGUUCGAUUGAAAACAAACGGAAAUAGAAAAUAACUGGAAUGUAAUUGUUUAUGCCAACACGGCAGGAUAAAGUAUAACUAAAUAAAAACAGAGUUUCAAGGCCAAGAAGUUCUUUCACGCUGCACACAUCCUCCUUUUAUACUGCUGCAUGGUAAAGGUCCAACCCCCAGCUGCGCCAGCUUCAUAUCUUCAACGAGAUCUUAUUUCCUUCUUUAGCUCAAUCCGUGAUUGAUCUGAUUGAAGAUAGCUUCCAGCUGCUCGUGUAGUCAACCUUUCCCUUUCUUCCGAUGCUUCUAGCUUCUUCCUCCUUCUUCUCUUUGCUUCCUUCAAAUCCCCGAGAUUUACUUUCCUUUUCUGGAUUUGGCUGUCUGCUUCUCAUGGUAGUGGUCAGACGGAUUGCUUUCUUCGGUUUGAUUCAUACCAGGUGGAUUGCUUCAGGUUCCCAUGCCCCAAGUUAGAUUGGAGAGGUACUGCGGCCGAAGCUCCAUGCUGGUAAACAUGACAUAGCAAUCUGGGCUUGGUAAUGCCCAUUCCAACCACAUUCUUUCCGUUUCCGCUCCACUGGACCUUCCUUCCUCAACAACUUCGUUUUCCCCUGGACAGACCUGAACUGACACAAAUAAAGAGAAAAAUAGGGUCAAAUGGCCCAAAAGUCGAAGACGCAUCAACUUCCGAUGCUACUGCUGCUCGACUUCCGGUCCGACGAUGCAAUUGGGCUCAGCUGAGAGAGAGGCUCAAAACGACAUCGUUUUAAUUCCCGUCCGGCGGUGCCAUAUCAUUUUUCAGGUCACUCAAAAAUGCCAUGUCAGCACUCAAUUUGGGGAUUUUCAAAAAUUAUGGAAAAAUUGUUCAGACGAUUAAGUUCAGGGAAUUUUUGAUGAAAAAAAAAUUAUGGAAAGUUUGGAAAUCCGACCAAAGUUCAUGAUUUUUGGCGUAAUUAACCCUAAAUAUUAAUAUUAUUAAAAAAAAUGGGGGGAUGCAGUUUCACCCCCAUGUUCUUAAUGGAUCCUCCAGUGUCUCUGAGGUCUCCAUAUAAAAAUGCAGUCUUUACAUCUAACUGAUGCAGUUCUAGGUCCAGCUGGGCAACAAGAGCAAGCAGAAUUCUUAUGGAACAAUGUUUAACGACUGGGGAAAAUACCCCAUUGAAAUCAAUCCCUUCUUUCUGUGUGAAGCCUCUGUCCACAAGCCUUGCUUUGUAUCUAAUUUCUCCAGUUAACUCCACAUUUUUCUUGUAAAUCCAUUUACAAUUUAUACAAUUUUGUUUAUGUGGUCUCUCUACCAGAGUCCAUGUUUAUCAGUGACUCUAGCUCCUCUUCCAUAGCUUGAUUUGUUUUUCUUUUAUAGCUUCUGAAUAAUUCUUUGGUUCACUAUAGUCUAGUUCUUCAGCCACACUCAUUGCAUAAGAUAUCAAGUCAGCAUGAACAUAUCUUUCUGGAUGAUGAACUAACUCUAUCUUUUGCUAACUUAUAGUCUUGAAGUUCAUCUUCAGUCCCUGAAUCACCAUUUUUUGAUUGGCCUUGAUCUACUGUAGUAAUGUCAUUCCCAUCAGUAGCUUCAUUGGGUGCAUGAGACUUUAAUACCUCCACCUCAACCUGAGUAUUAUCAGUAGCUUUAUUUAUCUUUCUUUCUUUCAUUCUCAUGAUAUGGCAUUUCAUUUUCCUUGAAAAUGACAUCUUUGCUUAUUAUGGCUUUCUGUUUGCCAAGCUCUAAACACCAGAGCUUAUAUCCCUUAAUGCCCUCGAUGUAUCAUUUUAUUAAUACACUUUAAGGCUCUGGGAUCAAGUUUAUCUUGUUUUUGGUGAACAUAAGCCUUGCAGCCAAACACCUUUAGAUAGGAAUAUAGCUUGACUUAUUUCUAGUCCAUAUUUCUUCUGGUAUUUUAAAACCAAUGGCUAAAGAUAUGGCCAUUUAUUGAUCAAGUGACAUGUUGUGUGAACUACCUCUCCCCAAAACCUUUUUGGAAAUUCAAACCCUGCAAGCGUACAUCUGACCCUCUCUAAUAUAGUCAUAUUUAUUCUCUCAACAAGACCAUUUUGUUGAGGAUUUGUUGAUACAGUCAAGUAUCUUUUAAUACCUUUUUCCUUACAGAAUUUUUGGAACUCCUCUGAGAGGAACUCUAAACUGUUGUCAGUCCUCAAUAAUUUCAACUUUGUUCCAUUUUUCUUUUCAACUGUUGAGUGUCACUCCACAAAUUUUUGGAAUGCAUCAAACUUUUCUUUGAGGAUAUAGACCAAAAGCUUCCUUGAAUGAUCAUCUAUGAGUGCCAUAUAGUAUCUGUCUCCACCUAUUAUCUCUGUCCUCGAAGGGCCCCACAGAUCACAAUGGACAUAAUCCAAAACCUGCUUUGAAAUCAUGCUGCUUUGGUUGAAUGGGAUAUUCUUGUUCUUUCCCAUGAUGCAUUCCUCACAUUCAUUUAUUCUAAAUGAUUGAUGAUGUUUCAGCUUAAUUUCCUUGUUUCAGAAGAUCAUUUAAACAUUUUUCUCAAACAUGGCUAAGCCUGACAUGUCAGAUUCUUGAUUUAUCUUCUGAGCUCACUUCUAAUUCUUCCACUAUUGCUUCAUUUUGCAGAUAUAUAGUAUAGACUUUUGAAUCUGGAUCCCUUCAUGACAACUGUGGAGUUUCUCAUAACAUGUAGUGUACCAAAUCACAGAUUUGAACCAAAACCCCUUUGAUUCUAGCAUCACAAGAGAUGUCAAGUUUCUCUUAAGAUUAUGAAUAUAUCUGACAUCUUGAAGUGUUUUUACAAAUCCAUCAUGCAUUCUGAGCCUUAUGUUGCCAAUUCCUCUAAUUGCACAAAUUUGAUCAUUUCCUAGAAGUACAGACCUUUUUUCUCCAUACUCUAUGUUGCUAAACCAUUCUUUAUAUGGGCACAUGUGAAAAGAACAGUCGGAGUCUAAUAUCCACUCAUUCCAAAGAUAUUGAUCAACUAUGUUAAGCAUCUCUACAUUAUCACAGUGUUCAACAGCUUCUGCAGUGUUAGAAAGAUGAGUGUUCUGACCUUGUUUCCUUUUCCAUAAGUAGCAAUCCUUGUUUAGAUGUCCAGGCUUUUUGCAGUGGUGACAUUUCCUUGUCUCCUUCCCUUCUUGAUCCUUGACUCCACUUUGAGAUGUUUUCUUUCCAUUUGCACUAGAUUUCUUGGAUUUCUUCUUGAAUUUUUGUUCCACAUUCAAGCUUUCUCCAGUAGUAUCUGGCUUUCAUCAGAGCUUUUCAGCAACUCUUUUGCUUUCAGUGCAGAUUGCACUUUAUCCAUAGUUAUUGUUGUCUUUCUGUCAUACAACAUGGCAUCCUUCAAAUGUUCAAAGGAUCUUGGCAAGGCAUUCAAAAUGAUAAUGGCUUUGUCUUCAUACUUCAUCUUAACUCCAAUGUUUUCCAGGUCAUCAACUACCUUGUUGAAUUCAUCUAGUUGAUCUAGAAUUUCUUUUCAUCGGUUAUCUUGAAGAAAUACAGGCUUUGCUGGUGUACAAGCGGUUUGCCAAUGAUUUAGUCAUGUUGGAAACUUAAUGAAAGAUCUUAUCCCUAGUUUUGAUGAUACCACAACUCCUAGUUCUUAUUGUAAUAGACUAGAACAUUUCAAGCUUAAGUGUUAGAGUUCAUAUUUUCUAGUUAGACUGCUAAAGAUUGAAGACUGAAGUUUGAAGACCUCAACUGAAGAUAGCCGCGAUAAGACAAAGUCAGAUACUGAUGUUUUGACUGAACUAGAGUUUCACUGAAAUAUCAGUGAUAACUGAAGUGUUAAUGCGGACCACAUGGAAUUAGCGGACUGAUACUCAUGUCAAAUAUCAAUUAACAUUCUUCAUCGGACUGAAACGCUGAAACCAGCAUUAAAUUCUCCUGCAGCCGCAUCAAAUCCAGAGAUUUAGAAGAUCAUCCUUUCUUUGCAGAUAGUUCCUAUUUGGUGAAAACUUUUCAGAGGCGCCCUACCGGCUGUACCAUGAGACGCCGUCCUUCAUCAAAACAAGAACCUUGAAGAUUGUAGCCUCAGUCAAAUUCAAAUUUACUCUCACAACAGAUGAACUCUUGAAGACCAUCUCAGCCAACGAAUCUAUUCAAGUCUUUGUCUAUAAAUAGAGCUUGAGAAACACUGCAAUCUUUAUCGAUUCAAACGCACAAGCUGAACCUCUGCCAAAUUUGCAACUCAACCUUCAACUGCCUUCAAAAGUUUGAAUCGAAGAACAGAAUCCCCAAAGUCUAAAUCAGUUCACUGAUUAUCUACAUUCUCUUAUUUCCUUAGGCAAAUCCUUGUAUUACCCAAAGCCUAAGUUUUUGAUUACUUGAGAGUCUGUUCUCAGUAAUCUUAGUUGGUAGAUUUCGAACUCAUUUUCAACCGAGCGAAAAGAGUGUUUGAGUAGAGAGGAGUUCAGACCAGUGUUCUGACUCCAGUGAUCUUAGCGUGCUAAGAGCGAGUGAGAAAUCCAACUGAAAAGUGAGAAAUCCAACCUAGUGUGUUGGUACUGAAAAUUUAAUUUUCAGUUGUAAAGUUUGCUGUGCACCCGUAAGCAUUAGCCCAGAGUGUUUGUCAGACUAAUCAUCUGGCCAUGGACAUAGGAAUUUAUUUUCCGAACCACGUAAAAAUCCUUGUGUUCUUUAUCUAUUUUCAGUUAUUCCUUAUCUGCAUUAAACUUGUUUUACAACUGAACUGGCUUAACUGAAAAGUGUAACUAAGGAUUUUAUUAAGUGACAAACUGUCUAAAGGCUAUUUGAAUUAAGUUUAAAUUUCCGUUGUUGAGUUAUUAGUCUAACUAACUAAUCAACUGAUAGUCAGUAAGAUUUGUAACUCUAUUAUGUUUCACAAACUCUUGACUGAAGCCUUACGUGGAUAUUAGUUAAAGCUCUGUGUUUGACUGAAAUCAAAAUACUGAAGUUACUUCAGUAUCAGUCUACAACCACUUUACAACUGAAGUUUGGUUUGUUUGUUUUCGAUUCGACAAAAAUAACCUAUAGGUGUAUUCCCCCCCCUCCCCCAUACACUUAUUCAGUUAACCCUCCGGGACCCAACAAGUCAUAUAGAGACUUUCUAAUUUCUCCCAAACACCAACUGCAUUAGUUGUUGUCCUGGCAGGUUGUUUUCUCCCUUUAAGGCAUCAACUAAUCCAUGUUGAAUCAAGAUAGCUUUCAUCUUGAUUCUCCAAAGCUCAAAAUCAUUCUUACCUGUAAACUUUUAAGUAUCGAAUUUCACAGUUUCCAUGGCUUCUCAGAUCUAUGAUUUCUCCAUGUCCAGCGUUUCCACUGACGAUACCAAAUGUGAAUAUAAAGGAUUCACACCAAAACUCCUCAAGAACUUACUUGCGCAGAUACAACAAUGAGAAACUCAAGGAUGAUGUACCACACACAAAAUCAAUCAA